CGCAGUCCGAAGACACCGGUCGCAAAUUUGUUCGCGUCUAUUGCAGAGUGGAGAUUAUACCGUUAUCAGUUCGUGGCUGGUGAAGUUAUUUCGCCCUAACGGGGUUCUCUUUAUUGCGCGAGUGAGGAGAGCAGCAAUCACUACCAGCGUAAGGAAGAAGUCCUCCACGGCGGACGCGGUGCGUGUGCCGUAUCAUCGCUGUGUGUGCUUUAGCAUCGUCAUCGAUUCCAUCAUCGUGUUGUGGUGCGAUAUACCGUUGCAUCUGUGCCGAGCGAUUGCCACGCGGUUCGAUUGGGACAUCGUUUCAUUUCAUUCGCAUUGGUGUGCGAUUUAGAACACGAAACUCCAUGCUUCUUCGGCAACGAUCUGUGCUGCGGAACAAAUUCGGUGAAACAAGUUUCUGCACGAAGGUAAUGGUUACAGACGCACGAGAUCAUCAUGGAGCAUAUUUCCGUGGACUGUGUUAUCAACGAUUCGCUACUGAACGAGUUCGAUGAUGUCAAACAAAUCUCCAACUGGUUCAUCAAGGGGCAUAUUUUGAGUGAGUUUAUCGAUACUUUAUGAGGAGACAAUUUGACCUGACUCGGGACGCGAUCGACUACGAGGUGGCCGAGGCUCGGCUCGAGGAUCUCAAGCCCUAAAUGUCCGAUCUGUGAUCGGUGAUCGAGAUGUUUCUCUGUCCGACGCCGAAAAACCGGUUCUGUCAGAACGAAAUCACCCAAUAUAUCUGAGUCGGACAAUCUUUGCCCAAGAUCCGCGUGUAAAUAGCUGUGCGUCGAUUCACGCUCGAGUAGCUACUCCUGCCCCAGGAGUACGUGCUCGAUAAAUUGCGGCAUAUGCUGAGCGCGUUUCUGGAUGAGGAUCUGCGUAAACAGCAAUGAGAUAGAGUUUGAAGGAAAAUUAUGACGUUAUUGACGUAGGACUACGUCUAACCUUUCAAUAUAGGGGCCCAUUUUAAUAUUUCGGUGUGAAAAAGUGUUCAGUUGUUGAACGCUAAUACCUCCUCAAUUAAUGAAUAGAUUUUGGUUCCAAAUACACACAUUGAAAGGGAAUAUCCUCAGCAAUUGUUUAUAUGCUACACAUUAUGGUUUUUCGGCUCAUAUAAAGUUCAAAUUGAUGAAAAAUUGGAAGAAAGAAUUCCCUACUU
Toxorhynchites rutilus septentrionalis is the source of this 1147-nucleotide long non-coding RNA. RefSeq lists it as uncharacterized. NCBI's taxonomy places the organism in Eukaryota, Metazoa, Arthropoda, Insecta, Diptera, Culicidae. The transcript has 4 exons. The record is from RefSeq and is a predicted model, not a curated record.